CUAACUAACCAGUCCUAACCCACUUCUUGUUCGCUGUCACUUUCAUCUAGGAAAUUAGCCUCUUUUAGAAGUUCCAACCAUCCCGUCCCGCCAUUGACGAAUCGGCAAUCAUUCAUUUAGUCUAAGUGAAACGGUUACUUUGAUUAGCAAAUGCCACCCGGCAAGAAUGGAUUUGACGUGUGAUUCUAUUUUCAGCCACGUGUUCAACGGCACGGAUCUGCAGGUGAACAAGUCUGUGUUGAGACUGGCAAUAUGGAUGGAACGGAUUUAUUUAUUAGAGGUUGGCAUUAGGGCCGAGAUGUGAGGAUGAACACCGAGCUGGUUGUUGGGACCGAUGGAAGGGAAAUAAGGUGGAGCCACGAGCUGGGUGGUGAGAUAGUCAUGGUGUGAGGAAAAUAGA
This 400-nucleotide small RNA is filed under the name Histoplasma capsulatum var. duboisii H88. RNAcentral describes it as "Histoplasma capsulatum H88 hypothetical RNA". The record is from RNAcentral. Lineage: Eukaryota; Fungi; Ascomycota; Eurotiomycetes; Onygenales; Ajellomycetaceae.